Propithecus coquereli (Coquerel's sifaka) is the source of this 64-nucleotide small nuclear RNA. NCBI's taxonomy places the organism in Eukaryota, Metazoa, Chordata, Mammalia, Primates, Indriidae. The record is from Ensembl.
GUGCUCGCUUCGGCAGCACAUAUACUAAAAUUGAAAUGAUACAGAGAAGAUUAGCAUGGCCCCU